CUACGACACGGUCUGGAGGGAAACUGCCAUCUUUACAAACGGGACAGGAACCAGAUUGAAUAGAAUAGCGGACCAAUCAGGCUUCCAGACACUUUUCAGAGUCUAGAAGACUGCAUGUCUCCUGCAGCCUGGGAGCAACGUUGAAUCCCCAAAGGGUUGAAGCUGGCGAUUCUCACCUCGCUCAGGAAGGCUGGGAGAUUUCAGCGAUGCCGAUGCUGCUGCCCCUUCCUCUCAUCCUCCUCCCUCACAGCUGACCCUCAUUGGAAAUGGACAGACUGGGAUUUACAGAAACACGGUGGCUGCACAGUCGGGAGGAUGCACUAUGGCAGCAGAGGAGGAAUCAGGAGGUUUUUCACCCACAUGUAGGUGGAAUCUGUUGCUUCACCAAAAUGCCCCGACGAGUUACCUCAGUCAACCUAAACCCCGCAACUUUUCCUAAACAGAAUGCUAAGAAAUCACAGCUGCAGAACUCGUUAUUGUUACACGUACGCACUCAUGAUGAGUCCUAAAAAUGUUAUAUUGGGAUGUGAUUCAAUACAAUAUUUCAAACCAUCAGAAUUUUAAAUGUUCUUUUUUUUUUGUGAGAAAUAAAGUCCUUGUCACUCAGGCA
Poecilia latipinna (sailfin molly) is the source of this 610-nucleotide long non-coding RNA. RefSeq lists it as uncharacterized. The transcript has 3 exons. The record is from RefSeq and is a predicted model, not a curated record. NCBI's taxonomy places the organism in Eukaryota, Metazoa, Chordata, Actinopteri, Cyprinodontiformes, Poeciliidae.